AAGUCGGUGGGGUAACCUUUUAGGAACCAGCCGCCUAAGGUGGGACAGAUGAUUAGGGUGAAGUCGUAACAAGGUAGCCGUAGGAGAACCUGCGGCUGGAUCACCUCCUUU
This 111-nucleotide ribosomal RNA is filed under the name Lactiplantibacillus plantarum. RNAcentral describes it as "partial 16S ribosomal RNA". It matches the Rfam family "Bacterial small subunit ribosomal RNA", at positions 1424 to 1533 of the family's 1533-position model. Lineage: Bacteria; Bacillati; Bacillota; Bacilli; Lactobacillales; Lactobacillaceae. The record is from RNAcentral.